RNAcentral lists this long non-coding RNA (3661 nucleotides) under Nicotiana tabacum (common tobacco). Its description in RNAcentral is "long non-coding RNA (NTAB_LNC019536)". The record is from RNAcentral. Lineage: Eukaryota; Viridiplantae; Streptophyta; Magnoliopsida; Solanales; Solanaceae.
ACCCGCCCGUCUGCCUUAAACCGACCCGCCCCAUUUCCCAUUCUCACAUAAUCCCUUUAUAACACUUACACAAAAUUAAACCCUAAAAUCCUAAAGACCCCUCAAUGCUGCGUAGCUACUGUUCAUCUUCUCCCUCACCAAAACUCACCUCUGCCUCGCCCAAAACUCGCCCGAGUUCACCCCUUAACUCACCUCACGCACUUUCCCCCUCUCUCCCCUUACCACAUAGGUGUAACGACCUCUGACAUCCAAAGACUCUCCUCCCCUUUACUCGCCUGAUUUUAACCCAUUUCACGCGAUUAGUAGGCUCUAGAAGACGUGCGUUGGAUGAGUGAGAGGCGUUGGAUCGAUUUCACUCAAUCCAAACCUCACAUUCAUCAGGUGUUCAUUUUCAAGAGGGCCCUAUCCGAUUUCUUGAAGAAGAAAAAAAAAUCUAGGGAGAUAGGGAUAUAAGGGAUUUAAGAGAAAUUAGAAAAGAAAAUGGAGGAUUUGUUCUAAGUUUUCCUUUUUUGGUUGGUUUUAUUCUUUCUGUCUUCUUCUCGAUUUCUGAAAGAAAAUGAAAAAACUUUCCAGUUCUUUUUUUCUUAUUCUUAGUUUGCUUCCAAAAAUCUGAAAAUUCGAGGAAAAAAAAAUGGUCCAUUUUCCUUCUAUGAUUUCCGUUCAAGUGAAGUUGAUUUAAGCGAGCUCGUCGCUGUUGAGAGCUGCUGAUCGAGUUUCUUCCGUGGCUGCUAAGUCAUGUUUCUCUACUGUUGCUUUGUUUUGGAUUUUCACUGCUGAACCUUUCUUGUAUUCUGCUCCUGGAAGUAGUUGAAGUUUUGAGCAUUCAGGUGUAUUUCUUCUCCUGUACUACUUUGUUUAGAUGGUUUAAAACACGGUUAAGAAGUUCAGUCUUGAUUAAAUUUAUGCAUUGCUGAUGUGAUAAGUUGCAUUUUGAUGAAAUAUGUGGCUGCUAGCAGAGCACGAAUUUGCGACGCCUUUACUCUCGAAUUCUUGUUGUUUGUUUUCAUUAGUCUGCUUUGUUUGGCUGAAGCUCGGCUAGUUGUGAAAAUGUUAGCUGAAUCUCAUUCUAGCGACGUGUUCUGUUGUGAUUUUUUUAUGAACAUUUAGUAUAUUCUUCUCAGUUGGAGCCCGAAAGAGUGUUGGAAAUAAGUUUUGUUUUCUGCCUGUUGAUAAUCUAGUCUACGUGCAUGUUGCUCUAAACUUGAUGUUGUUCCUUGUUCUAUCGUGUCCCUAUGUCAACUGAUAGCCCUAUUUGAUCGAGAAACAAUUGGUGUUGGAAUUCAUGUAUCAAAAGCUGGAGUGAUUGUGAACAUCAACUGUUUGGUGUAAAUCCUAUGUGCUUGAGUUGAUAAUUUUAUUAGACCUGAAAGUUUAAGUUUCAAGUUAUAGAAUUGAUGAGGAAGUGCAACUGUCCAAGUCUGCUUGUUUGUUUCUUUUAACCUAAAAUGUGUGUUUGUGUGACAACUUGUUGUUUGAUUAAGCAAGAUGUUCCUCAUUUGGAAUGAUAAUAGUUAUACCACUAUCUUGUGUUUUUUUUAAUUGAAAGAUUAUCCCCUUCUUCUGAACAUGAUCUAUUUUAGACCCCUUUAAUUUAAGUCACGUGUAGGCUAAGUUUUGUGAACUAAGAUUUCGAAAAUGGUCGAGAUACUGUUAGGUUUGUCGAGGUACUGUCAGGUUCUCGGUUGUUGAGUUUAGCUGAUUCUUAUUGCGAAAUCUUGUUGUUAUCCUUUGUUAAGAUACACAUCAGUUUGGUUUCUCUUUGGUUAUGGUUUAGGCAAGAUUUCAGCAUCUACGUUAAAGGCUCAAGUAGGAUUUUAGCUUGGAUUUUGCAAGUGUUUUUUCUGCUCCGCAAUGCCUAUUCAAGACGGAAACUAAAUUAGAACUUGUUGGUGUAUCGCUGUCCUUGCGAAAUCGAAGCAGUUAAGUGAUUUUACACUCAAAGGAGCCAUGAUAUGCAUAAAAGGAAAUUGACUCUUGGCUUUAGCUUGAUGUUUGCUUCUUACUUUCUUAUUCCUGCAUAGAGCCGCAGAUUUUUUUUAGUGUAAAUGUGUAGCUGAUAACAAAUGUUUGUUUGGAUCAAGCAUGUUUUGUGUUGUGCGAAAAUUAUUUGUGAAUGAAUCCUGUUUUGCAAGUAUAUCUCAAUAUUAGUGUGAAUUCUGAUUGUAUAAGACCCCCAAGAUAGAGCUCAAACCUCACUUCUAAUCUCCCCCAGAUCCGCAUUUUAAACUCGACAGAACCCAGCCAAAAGCGCAGCUGAACCUCGUCCCGAAACCCAUCAUAGUUUUAGCCACAAAACUUGCCUGAAACCUUCAUGAAACAAUCAGAAAUUUAGUCCCUCACACCUCUAAAAGCGUUGCAAUUCAAGCUUCAUUCCAACCAUAUGACUUGAUGAGAGGCUAUAAUUACAUAUUUUAGUCGCUUAUUACACUCAAAUUUACUGUACUUUAAUUGAGUUUGAGCUUUAAUCGCUAGUGUCUUGCACUAAUUGUGUGUUUUAUGCCUUGUAGGAGUGAUUCCGAGCUAUGUAGAUGUAUAAAAUGAACUCAAGUGAUUUUGAACUUUGAAGUCUGAGUAAAAGCCCAAGAAAUUAAGCUAGGAUCGUAUUCAGGGAUCAACGGAUGAUAGAGCAACAAAACAAAGAAUCGAGUAGGCAUAUUGCGCACUAUUUAGUAAAUGCACAUAACAUUUUGCUCAGAGCUCCUUUUGAGCUCCACAAUAUAUGGUUGGAAAGCUAACUCAAAGGGAUACAACUUUCAUGUUUUACGUUUUUCAAAUUCCAAACGGAACAGGGUGAAAAAUUCGGUCGAAACUACGACCGCGGACCUGAGGCGGGCUGAGGCAGUAGACUUGCCAAAUACCACGCCCGUACCGCACCCGGGCCGCGGCCGCAGACGCCCAGACCUGGAAACUUGUCCGUUUUCGCGUAGGAGAAGGUAAUAGUUGGGCCCCGACCUUACUUGGUAUAUAUGCAUGGAAAAACAGUAUUUUGAAGGGAGGAGACCAAUUUUUGACACAGAUUCGAACUAAGGAGGCAGAGACACAAUAGGAGCAAGGCAAAGAUUCUUCUACGAGUUUUUCCUUCUUCUUCCUAUUUUUUCAUUGUUGGUUAUGACUUUUAGUAUUGUAAUUUUACAUACUAUUAUGAAUAGCUAAUUUGUUAUCUAGGAUUUUGAUAGAACCUUUUGUAGGAUAAAUUCUUGUUAUAUUUUUAUAUAAUUGAGCCGUUGGAUUUCUCUACUUGUUCAACUACGUAUUUGUUAUUGUUGAUUGAAUGGCCAUCAAUUGAUUGUGCCUAUUUAGUGUGUAGUGCUCGAGAGAGAGAGAGUGUACAUAUUUAGGUAAUUGUUGAACAACGUCACCCCUAACGUAUGUGAGAAACCAAUACAGUGGGUUUAAAGGUAGGUUUAGAAAUAACAAAACCUUGAUAUGGUCAUAAUGAGCGGUUAGAUAAAGCAAACUAGUAUAGUUCGAAAGAAUAUGUUUAGUAAAUUGUUGUAGUUGCUCGAGAGAGAAUUACGGUAUAUAAAGUGCUCACGAUCAGUAGAGAAUACAUUGGCAAAAUUGUAGGGAACAUAGCUAGAAGGAUUCCGACAAUUGGGAAAAUCAUAACUCUAGACCUCCUUAAUUUAGUCUCCAACCCUUUGUCUCGUUAGUUGGUAAU